GGCCUUGUCGUCCAACGGUUAAGACGUGAGACUUUGAAUCUCAAGACCUGAGUUCGACUCUCAGCAGGGCCU
This is a non-coding RNA of Amoeboaphelidium occidentale, 72 nucleotides long. The record is from the annotation of a GenBank genome assembly. NCBI's taxonomy places the organism in Eukaryota, Fungi, Aphelidiomycota, Aphelidea.